AGUCGUAACAAGGUUUCCGUAGGUGAACCUGCGGAAGGAUCAUUACCGUUACUCUGUGUCUUGCACACACUGUAAACCACUGUGAACUGUUUCGAGCUUGUGGGGUGGUUCUUCUUUGCAGGAGAAUCUCAAAUGCAGUUAGACAGCCGAGGCUGGCUGCUGCGGCCCCACAUGUCUGUCUCUUAUGUUUUUCAAAACACUCGUCAAUUCAUUCCAGUUGAAUAGUAUCACUCUGGCCAGUCCAGUUUGAUACACAGUUUAAACACAUGACAACUUCUAACGGUGGAUCUCUUGGCUCGUGCAUCGAUGGAGAACGUAGCCAGUUGCGAUAAGUAGUGUGAAUUGCAGAAUUCAGUGAAUCAUCGAAUCUUUGAACGCAAAUUGCGCUCUCUGGAUAUCCAGGGAGCAUGCCUGUCUGAGUGUCGUGAUAAAAACUACACACCCCUGGUGUGGCAUGUGGGUAUCGAGUUUGCAGAUUGCUCAGGCGUUCUGUACUAAACUCGUCCUGCGAAGUGCGUGAACCUGAAUGUGCUGCUGACUGCAUGUGCAUUGGGAAGGCUCAACUUGCUUCUGUCUUUCCCUCUGCGUUCUCAUGCCAGCAGUAUCAUUGUAGAUGGUGAACAAGACGGUGUCCCACCCAUGGGGCGGGCACGAUGUCAAUUUCUGAUUUUGACCUCAGAUCAGACAAGACUACCCGCUGAAUUUAAGCAUAUCA
Molecule: ribosomal RNA, 715 nt
Filed under: uncultured eukaryote
Lineage: Eukaryota
Description: eukaryotic LSU rRNA
Rfam family: 5.8S ribosomal RNA (bases 272-425)
Source: RNAcentral